This 468-nucleotide ribosomal RNA is filed under the name uncultured bacterium. RNAcentral's name for it is "partial 16S ribosomal RNA". It matches the Rfam family "Bacterial small subunit ribosomal RNA", at positions 28 to 507 of the family's 1533-position model. The record is from RNAcentral.
GACGAACGCUGGCGGCGUGCUUAACACAUGCAAGUCGAACGGAAAGGCCCUGCUUUUGUGGGGUGCUCGAGUGGCGAACGGGUGAGUAACACGUGAGUAACCUGCCCUUGACUUUGGGAUAACUUCAGGAAACUGGGGCUAAUACCGGAUAGGAGCUCCUGCUGCAUGGUGGGGGUUGGAAAGUUUCGGCGGUUGGGGAUGGACUCGCGGCUUAUCAGCUUGUUGGUGGGGUAGUGGCUUACCAAGGCUUUGACGGGUAGCCGGCCUGAGAGGGUGACCGGGCACAUUGGGACUGAGAUACGGCCCAGAGUCCUACGGGAGGCAGCAGUGGGGAAUAUUGCACAAUGGGCGGAAGCCUGAUGCAGCAACGCCGCGUGCGGGAUGACGGCCUUCGGGGUGUAAACCGCUUUAGCCUGUGACGAAGCGUGAGUGACGGUAAUGGGUAAAGAAGCACCGGCUAACUACGUG